GUCUACAGCCAUUACACCUUGAACAUGCCCAGUCUUGUCUGAUCUUGGAAGCUAAGCAGAGUUGGGCCUGGUUAGUACUUGGAUGGGAGACCACCUAAGAAUACCAGGUGCUGUAGGCU
Molecule: ribosomal RNA, 119 nt
Filed under: Pteropus alecto (black flying fox)
Lineage: Eukaryota; Metazoa; Chordata; Mammalia; Chiroptera; Pteropodidae
Source: RNAcentral